GAUGAACGCUAGCUCCAGUCUUAACACAUGCAAGUCGAGGGGCAGCAUUUUAGUUUGCUUGCAAACUGAAGAUGGCGACCGGCGCACGGGUGAGUAACACGUAUCCAACCUGCCGAUAACUCGGGGAUAGCCUUUCGAAAGAAAGAUUAAUAUCCGAUGGUAUAUUAAAACCGCAUGGUUUUACUAUUAAAGAAUUUCGGUUAUCGAUGGGGAUGCGUUCCAUUAGUUUGUUGGCGGGGUAACGGCCCACCAAGACUACGAUGGAUAGGGGUUCUGAGAGGAAGGUCCCCCACAUUGGAACUGAGACACGGUCCAAACUCCUACGGGAGGCAGCAGUGAGGAAUAUUGGUCAAUGGACGAGAGUCUGAACCAGCCAAGUAGCGUGAAGGAUGACUGCCCUAUGGGUUGUAAACUUCUUUUAUAUGGGAAUAAAGUAUUCCACGUGUGGGAUUUUGUAUGUACCAUAUGAAUAAGGAUCGGCUAACUCCGUGCCAGCAGCCGCGGUAAUACGGAGGAUCCGAGCGUUAUCCGGAUUUAUUGGGUUUAAAGGGAGCGUAGGUGGAUUGUUAAGUCAGUUGUGAAAGUUUGCGGCUCAACCGUAAAAUUGCAGUUGAAACUGGCAGUCUUGAGUACAGUAGAGGUGGGCGGAAUUCGUGGUGUAGCGGUGAAAUGCUUAGAUAUCACGAAGAACUCCGAUUGCGAAGGCAGCUCACUAGACUGCAACUGACACUGAUGCUCGAAAGUGUGGGUAUCAAACAGG
Molecule: ribosomal RNA, 760 nt
Filed under: uncultured bacterium
Lineage: Bacteria
Description: bacterial SSU rRNA
Rfam family: Bacterial small subunit ribosomal RNA
Source: RNAcentral